GAUGCAGCGACGCCGCGUGAGGGACGAAGGCCUUCGGGUUGUAAACCUCUUUCACCAGGGAAGAAGCGAAAGUGACGGUACCUGCAGAAGAAGCGCCGGCUAACUACGUGCCAGCAGCCGCGGUAAUACGUAGGGCGCAAGCGUUAUCCGGAAUUAUUGGGCGUAAAGAGCUCGUAGGCGGUUUGUCGCGUCUGCUGUGAAAGCCCGGGGCUCAACCCCGGGUCUGCAGUGGGUACGGGCAGACUAGAGUGCAGUAGGGGAGACUGGAAUUCCUGGUGUAGCGGUGAAAUGCGCAGAUAUCAGGAGGAACACCGAUGGCGAAGGCAGGUCUCUGGGCUGUAACUGACGCUGAGGAGCGAAAGCAUGGGGAGCGAACAGGAUUAGAUACCCCAGU
This 394-nucleotide ribosomal RNA is filed under the name Arthrobacter sp. RNAcentral's name for it is "bacterial SSU rRNA". It matches the Rfam family "Bacterial small subunit ribosomal RNA", at positions 385 to 791 of the family's 1533-position model. Lineage: Bacteria; Bacillati; Actinomycetota; Actinomycetes; Micrococcales; Micrococcaceae. The record is from RNAcentral.